RNAcentral lists this long non-coding RNA (1619 nucleotides) under Sitophilus oryzae (rice weevil). Its description in RNAcentral is "uncharacterized LOC115889308". The record is from RNAcentral. Lineage: Eukaryota; Metazoa; Arthropoda; Insecta; Coleoptera; Curculionidae.
AAUAAAACAUUUAUAAAACAAAUCAUAUUUGUUAAUUCAUCUAUAAAUAAAGCACAUGGUGUCCAAUUUUCGUGUACCUUACAGGGUUUCUCGUUUAUGGGUAAAGAUAGAAAGGGGCGGUUUUCACAUUACUAUGUUACUUUUUAUGAAACUAAAGAUGAUACACAUAAAUUUCUUUUAGCCAUCUUAGUUCCUGAAAUACAGGGCGAAUUUGAAAUUGUUGCAUUUUUAGACUAUCCUUGUAUCUCGGUUGUCUAACUUAUUGUCAAGCUACGUGUGGCGACAUCUGUCGGAUAAGCGAGAAGCUACAACCGCAACGUGUAUUGUUGGUUGACGACAUUGAUUGAGACACCACCUCUUAGCCAAGUAGAACAGCGGGUUCUAACUUCUAACCAAACAGUAGAAUUUACUGGUAGAUGGCAGAAGGGUAUCGAAAAUUAUAGAGAAUAGCUAAGAAUAGCGAACGUUCCAGAAACAGUCGCUACGAUAUAUACGAUAUAUAAAAAGAGCGCGCUCGGCAGUUGGGCAGUUAAGUUUUGUAGUUUGAAAAAUAUGGUUAAAUUGUGAAUCGUGACAAUUUGGCCAAGGAUUUUAUAAAUGGUUAAUUGUGUGUUGUAAUCAGUAUAAAUUGUGUGUAUAUAGUGAGAGAACAAAUUUGUUAAGUAUUUUAUCGUGAGUUUAAAUUAGUGGACCCACGGAAUCCGUAACAUUAUCAAAAAGGAAGAAGGCUAAGUCUCUGUGUAGCAUCUUUAUUUUCAUAAAAAAGUAGCCCAGUCAUGAGUCCAGUGAUAUGAAAACGAAAACCGCUUCUUUGUAUCUCUAAUCAUAGACGAGAAACCCCCUAAAACACACGAAAAUGGGACACCCUGUACAGAGCACAUUUGAAGUAAAACAGUGGAUUAUAUUUCACGCAGUUUGCAAUAAGGGUUGGGAUUUUUUUUCGUAAAUAACACCUGUUUACAAACCUAUCGAUCCAAAUAAAGCAUGUCAUUUUAUUUUAACGAAGGUGCAGAUGUAAUAGAUAAAGCAAAAAAAGAGGAAAAAGAUGAAGAUCAACAAUGAUGCAGACGUUGGAGAUUUUGUUUUUCUAUAUGUUUCAGCUACGCAUAAAAAAUGUUUUUCUUUUGUCAGAUUUUAUAUUUUUUUAUGAAAUAACUAUAAAAUAGGCUUUGAGACAUUUAUAGACAAUUUUUUCAGAUUUGUUGCUUGCUUUUCAUAAAUUAAAACAAUGGGUAUGAGGUGGUAUAUACAUAUAACGUUUCUGGCAUUUUUGGAUACUUUUCUUGACUGGCAAGCUUUAACCAGAAAAUUCGCAGAGUAUAGUUAUGUUGGCUGAAAAUUUUGUAAGCCUUAAAACUCUAAAUAACACUAUUUUGUCUCUACAGGGUGAAUCUUAAAUAAGCGCAUGUAAUUUUAGGGGUCGUAGAUCUCGAUAAAAGAAACAUAUUUUGUCUUGAUUUUGUUUUGAAAAUAUAAAAAAAUGAUUUUUUGUUUAAAUUUUGAAAACCACUAAAUCUUUUCUGGAUGUUCUUUCUUGUAAAAAUAAUCUACUAUCUAUGAUGCCAUGUUAUGAAAAUAUUAUGUUUUUUUUACUAAAAAUUAAAAACAAAUCCAAAUUU